Long non-coding RNA from Globicephala melas (long-finned pilot whale), 4263 nucleotides. RefSeq lists it as uncharacterized. The record is from RefSeq and is a predicted model, not a curated record. NCBI's taxonomy places the organism in Eukaryota, Metazoa, Chordata, Mammalia, Artiodactyla, Delphinidae.
GCCGCCCGCGGCGCCAGUUCCCGGCCGCGCCCCGCCCCGCCCGCGGAGCCGGGAAGUCCUGGGCGGUGGGCGGUACUGGGCGCUGCAGCGGCGGGGUCUGCGCCUCGGGCGGUUGGGGUCCCGCGGAGCAGAGGAGGCAGGCUGUCUGGAUACAAUUCGGCAUCUCAUACAUUUUUCAAGUAUCAGCUGGCACAUGGGGAGACCAUGGCCUGAGUCACAACUGAAAAUCUCACGAGGAGUCUUCACGUCUGCAAGAAGAGACGUGGUGGGCUUCCAUGGUGGCGCAGUGGUUGAGAGCCCGUCUGCCGAUGCGGGGGACGCGGGUUCGUGCCCCAGUCCGGGAAGAUCCCACAUGCUGCGGAGCGGCUGGGCCCGUGAACCAUGGCCGCUGAGCCCGCGCGUCCGGAGCCUGUGCUCCGCGGUGGGAGAGGCCACAACAGCGAGAGGCCCGCGUACCGCAAAAGAAUAGACGUGGUGUGUGGGGACCAGAGUUUUCCUUGAGUGACCGGGAAGUGGUUCACAUCACUGACUUUGCAGAUGUCCCGAUGUCACCACCGGCGUGUGUGAUUUCUCUGUAUACCAAGCCAAACUCAGCAAAUUUGAAAAAAGAAUGUUUGGUUCUAGACUAAUCAUCAAGGAUGUUCCAAUAAGCCCUAUCAUGGUUGAUUCAUCAUGCUUUGUAUUCUCUACUUUUCCCUGAAGGUAAAAUUCCAGAGUUGUCGGGUAACUCAGUUGAUGCACAGACCAGGCUGGUCCUCCACGUGUUCAGCGUCCUGGGAGCUCUCAGAAGCCAUCACUUAGGAAUUUUCAUGGAGCGUGAUCGAUUAUUAAUUUGUAGCCCCCCUCCCCUCCCUGGAGCCUGGGGGAUGGGACUGAAAGUUCAAGCAUCUCAUCAUGGUUGGACCUUUCUGGAGAGCAGCCCCACCCUGCAGCCAUCCGGGAGCCACCAGGAUUGGCCUCCUUAGAACAAGAGAUGCUCCUGUCACCCAGGAAGUGCCAAGGGAUUUAGGAGCUCUGUGUCGGGAUCUGGGGGAUGGGCAGAGACCAGUACAUAUUUCUUAUUAUAUCACAGCAUUUAUUGUAUAUAUGGCCAAAUUGGCGAACUCUUAGUCAUUUAAGAGUUUUCAAUACAUUCUCUUGGGUUUUCUGCUCUGUGGUUAUGCAAGAGGCAAAUGACCUUAAGAGGGAGCACAUCCUUCUCAUACACUCCUGGUUCCUGUUUUUAGAAUUUGUUUUUUGUUUUGUUUUGUCUUGGUCUUUUUUGCACUAUCCAGGAAUUCUGAGACAGAGUGUGCAAUCACCAUAAGAAUCCUUGUGCUGCCCUUUGUUAUAAUUUAGAGCUUGGUAAUUCCCAGUGCCCAUCAGACUAUGAAGAAGUGUGGUAUAAAUUCGGCUUUUUGGAGGGAAGUUAACAAGACUUUUUGGAAGUCUUUCAAUUUCAGAUGAAUGUUCCAGCACUCUCACUUUUAGAUUAUCUGUUGUACAGAAGCAUUUGCACACAUGCUCAGAUAUGUUCCAGGUUCUUUUCUUCAGCAUUAUUUAAAAAAUUCAGAUCUACAGGGGUUUUAAGUUAUUAUUUUUAAUUGUGGUAAAAACACACAUAAUAUAAAAUUUAUUAUCUUAAUCAUUUCUAAGUAUACAGUUAACAUUAUUUUUUAAUAGCAAAAAAGGAAAGAAAAAGAAAGGAAGAAAGAAGGGGAGGGGGAAGGAGGAAGGGUAGGAGAGGAAAGGAAUACAAUGAAAUGGAAUUAAUCCAAUUUUAAUUUUUUUCUCCAUAGGAGAAGAAUGUAAUUCAUUUAUAUGAUGGAAUAUGAUGCAGGAAAUUAAAAAAAAAUGUGAUUGGUCUAUAUGUCACCGAGACAAGCUUGCUCAGCUCGCCGCACAACAGCAAGAUGAGGUGUUGAAGCAAGGAAUAAGACCUUAUUCGGAAAGCUGGCAGACUGAGAAGACAGCAGAUGAGUGUCUCCGUCUUAUGUGGUCUGGAUGCCAGUUCCUUUUAUAGCACAGAGAGGGGGAGGAGAUGAGGAAGUAAAGUAAAAAGGCCAUACGUUUUGCAAAUAUCUCCUGGAAUGGCCAGCCUCGGGGAGGGGAUGUGUUAAUUUCUUCUUUCUUGCAGCCAUUCACAAGUGGACAGGGGCCGGAUGUUUCGCUGAACAAAGGCACUUUGGUUUAACAUUCAGGCAGAGGGGCAGGAUUCCCAGAGGCAGGGGAAGAGUAGCUCCCCGCUCGCCACAGGUGCCGUCCGCAGUUUCACUGUACUGGGCGUACGUACUUAAACAUGCAUGGCUUAAUCUUUGAGACAAGCCUAUGCUACAGGCAGGAUCGACCAAGUAGAGAGAAAAAGAUAAAUGUUUCAAUUCUGCUUAUGAAGGUAUAAUUUACCAAAUUCCUCUAAGUUAUAAUUAGUUUAAGGGGAAGGUUCUCCUUACACUUGGAAAACAGAUUGAAACCAGUCAUUUUUCAGAUAGAAACUAUAAAAAUUAUAACCAUAUUCACCAGUUUACUCAGUCCUAUGUAACUAAUCCUUUUUUAAAAACAGCUUUAAGAAGCCAUCAGUUUUCCCAUUAGAAUUCUUCAAUUUCUUACCCAGUUCAGCAUUAUUGUCUGAAAGCCAGAAACUUAUAUUUACCCAAAGGUCCCUUCUAUAAAACGUCUUGAAGAGGAAACAUUUUUGCAAAGGCGUCAGAGUGAAACCAUAACUGUCUAUAAUGACGAAAGACUUAAGAAGCACGUUUAAAUCUGGUUACAAUGCAACUGACAAAGUAACUUGGUUACUGCUGUGACAUGCAACACUUUUCAGACAAUAGCUAGAAUUAUGACUGAUAACAUUUUACCAGGACAUAUCAGAUUUUAGGAAGUCCAUAUAAUCCCUAGACUACCUCUCCAUUUGCCAUACAAUAUAACCUAAGAAGAUUUAUGACUUAUUUGACAACACUUCCCAUGUAAUUCAACAUACCAAGUGAACCUAAUUAGUUCAUAUCUCUCUUUGGGGUGUUUCAGGGGUCCUUUGAACCACUUUGUUUUAAUAUUCAGGCAGAGGAGCAGGGUUCCCCGAGGCAGGCCAUUACGUAUAGACAGUAUCCUUUUGGUGAACAAAAGCAACGGGAAGCAAAGGUUAAAGUAAAAGAAACAGAUCCAACAUGUAGUCAGAGUCGGCUCUUCCCUGUAUGUGUAUGCAGUUCCUGAAAAAGAUCAUGAAAACAAAUUAAGUGAAAAAUGUAUUUUGCGGGCUUCCCUGGUGGCGCAGUGGUUGAGAGUCCGCCUGCCGAUGCAGGGGACACAGGUUCGUGCCCCGGUCCGGGAAGAUCCCACAUGCCGCAGAGUGGCUAGGCCCGUGAGCCAUGACCACUGAGCCUGCACAUCCGGAGCCUAUGCUCCACAACGGGAGAGGCCACAACAGUGAGAGGCCCACAUACGGCAAAAAAAAAAAAAAAAAAAAAUGUAUUUUGCAGUACAAUGUGUAUAGUAUGAUGUCAUUUUUGUGAACAAAACCCUGUAUGUGUACAUGUGAAUUUAUAUAUGUGAAUCCAUAAGAAAAAGUUUAAGGGGCUACAUCUUUACUGCACAGUGGUUAUCUCUGGGAUAGAUUGGAGUAGGGGGUAUAGGAGGAAAACUUACAUUGUUUUACUCUCUAUAUGUCCAUUUAUUUAAAUUUUUAACUAAGAAAAUAUAAUUCUGGGGACUUCCCUGGUGGCGCAGUGGUUGCGAAUCUGCCUGCCAAUGCAGGGCACGAGCCCUGGUCUGGGAAGAUCCCACAUGCUGCAGAGCAACUAAGCCCGUACGCCACAAUUACUGAGCCUGCGCUAUAGAGCCCACGAGCCACAACUACUGAGCCCACGUGCCACAACUAGUGAAGCCCUUGCACCUAGAGCCCACGCUCCACAACAAGAGAAGCUACCUCAAUGAGAAGCCCACGCACCGCAACGAAGAGUAGCUCCCACUCACCACAACUAGAGAGCCCGUGCGCAGCAACAAAGACCCAACGCAGCCAAAAUAAAUAAAUUUUAAAAAUUAAAUUAAAAUUUAAAAAACGAAAAUAUAAUUCUGUAAUCUGCACAUAAUUUAAACAAGAUCUCCAGAAUACAACCAUUUGUGUAAUACUGAGUGACAAGGUACUGAAAUUGAAAUAAAAGCUACAUAAAUGGUUUUAAAAAUAUCCUUUUAUCCUUGGUUUUUAUAAGAGUUUUUAACAAGAAUGCCAGUCAAACAUUGACCUUUCUCUUUUCAUGAGUAAGGUUUAUUUCCAUUUUUUCCUUAUUUUUC